This 360-nucleotide unclassified non-coding RNA is filed under the name Hevea brasiliensis (rubber tree). The record is from RNAcentral. Lineage: Eukaryota; Viridiplantae; Streptophyta; Magnoliopsida; Malpighiales; Euphorbiaceae.
GGUGAAUGAUAUGACUUGUUGGUCAUGUAAAAGUGUGAUAACUUGGUGUCACAUAAAAAUGUGAUAAUCUGGCGUUUAGAAGUAUAUGUCUCUCUCUCUCUAAUAACUUUUGCUAUUGCUGCUUCUGAGCAAAGCAGUAACAGUGAUUCGGGUAAUAUUUGGUGGAAGCAAUGUUUAUGGGAGAUUGAGAUUUUUUUGUGUAUGUUUGAUGGAACUGAUGAAAGAUUUUGAAGAACUAGGCUUUGAUCCCCCGACUCUGAUCUAUUGCCUCCAUUUUGACAAUGAUGUAUUAUCAGAUUGAACAUUGUAAACACUUGUAGCUUAAAAGAUAAUGAUAUCAAAUGACUGGUAGAAAGUUGC